ACCAUUAAGAGUGAUUGAAAGGUAAAGAGAUGAAGACAACAAACAAAGGCUAUUCUUCUAAGAAAUUUAUCAUGAAGAUAAGAAGAAAAGCAAUGAAAUGCAGAUCGACAUCUUCAUUUUGGACAUCUAGUCUCUAGAACUCUGGAACAAUAAAUUCCUGUUGAUUAUAUCACUCAGACUGUGGUACUUUGUUACAGCCCUAGCAAAACACUCCAGAGCAUCAAAAACCCUUAAAGUAAACUCCUACCUCUAAAUGUUCUAUUACAUGAGAAAAAUAAGCAACUAUUUAUUUAAACUAAACUACUGGUUGAAUCUUCUUUUUCUUAUAGUGGAUGGAAUCUCAGCUAGAUAUAAAUAGGCAAAAGAGAUCUAAAUAGGAGGAAAAUUUGAGUAAUUAAGGAGGUAAAAGCUAGGAAGAAAUGACUGGAUCAAGAAUUUCCAUGAGGUCAAAGGCAAAUAUAAAUUAGGUUUAGAGGUUAGACUAAAAUGGAAUUUAGAAUUCCAGAAGUGGAACAGUUGUAUGUAACAAUAAGAUAAUAGGUGUGCCCAUGGAUAUAGAUUGCUGUCAUCGGAUGAUAAUUAGUGAAGUUAAGGAUGUCAGGGAACUCUAAAGCCAGGUUGGUACAUUAUUAAAAGCCAUGGGCCCUGACAUCACACAUGAUGAUUAUAAUGUGAAGAGACGAGACUGAGACUAUAAAGAAAGACCAGGAGUGAGCUAACUUGAAUGAUACCAAGGAAGAUGAUAUAAUAUGAAGUAUAUCCUCAUCUGGUAAAGACAGACAGAACUCUGAAGUGGAAAGAGCACUUGUCAAGAUAUCAGGAGAUGACGGCUUUGUGAGUUCUGUCACUAACCAGUGUAUGUUCUUGACCAAAUAAUUUUACCUCUCUCAACCUUGGUUGCUCCAUCCACCAAACGAUAGCGAUCUGAAUUCGUCAGCUUCUUUUCUAUUAUGACACUUGAUUACUUCAUCACCAGAAGCUGAGCUCCCAGCUUGAGUAUGCAACAUGUCUGGACAUGUUUGGCUAAUUACUGUGGCAGCCAGCCUGCUGGCCAUUGCAGAAUGACCCAGAUGCUUCCUGAGAGAACUCAGGUUUAAGGAAGAGAAAACCAAACUCCAGGAGUCUGACAGCAACAAAGCCUUAGUUGACAGAAAGGUAAAUUCGUCCUCAUAUUUUAAAACCAGUUCAGAUCUCAUCUCUGGGAAGCUUUCCUGACUUUCUGAAGUACCUUCUCUGACUCCCACAGCACAUAGCAUGGUCUAAGAUCUCUACAGUGAUUCCCAGCACCAUAUAUAGUUCACAUAUGUAAGGGAGGGGAAAACUACAUCACUAUUUAAAACCAACACUGACUGCAGCCACUUCAGCCCCUAAGGAAGUGUAAAAUUUUUUGCAUAGAGUAGAAAGCCUUCUACUUAACAAAAUUGGUUCCUAGUCCAUUGUGGCUGUAAAAGGAGAGACCUCCAGAGUAUGAUUUGGAAUGGUUCAGUGAAACAAAGAAUAAAAUUGCCUUGCAUUCAAAAUGAGAAAGAAUUAAGGGAAUUGGAAGCAAAUUCCAAAUACAAGGACACUGUAGAGGGAGCAAAGGAUCAGACAACACCCACAUAUGGGAGGUCAUUAGCGCAAAAUCGGCCAGCUCCUGAUAGUAGAAUUGACCUAAGAAAUUCUAAAAAGAGAGUAACACUCAAGUUUAAUUAUUUUCCAUGUGUCCUUUGUCAUCACAUCACCUGAAACCUUUAAUAAUGCACACUACAUGCAUUAAUGCCUUAUGUUUCAUAGGAAAUCAAGAAAAGGGGACUGAAUUCCACAUACGGUCUGUGCAUGGCAUAGAAAAUAGGAUAGCCACGGAAGGCGAAAAACAAGUAAAAUCAAUUGUAGAAUGAGGUGACCAUGAGACUAUAAGACCAUAGAGUGUGAAACAACAACAAAACCUUGCCAAGGGCCAUGGGCUUCCUCUGGGAUAAGCAAUAAGUAUCUGAACAAUGUUUCUUAAAUGUCCAAGGAAAGGAGUUGUCAGGUACCAUCUGGUGUCCACCAGCUGACCUUGUGUUCCCCAUUACAAGAGUGAGUCCUUCAGGGUAGGGAAAUGUAUCUUAAACAUCAUUGCACCCUCAGUGCCUAGCAGAGUGUAUGACAUAUAGUAAGUAGUCAAUAAGUACUUGUUAAAUAAAUGGAUAAAUAUAUAAAGAAAUCAAUUCAUUUUUAUUAGGGCAAGAUGAGAUAGUGUCUUGGUGGUAUAAGAAAAGUAUCAAAAUGAAAAAAUGAAUGUGGAAACAGGAGAGCAGUAAAUUCAUAUUCAAAGACCUA
Molecule: long non-coding RNA, 2304 nt
Organism: Homo sapiens (human)
Lineage: Eukaryota; Metazoa; Chordata; Mammalia; Primates; Hominidae
Exons: 4
Source: RefSeq, a predicted model, not a curated record